RNAcentral lists this ribosomal RNA (253 nucleotides) under uncultured bacterium. RNAcentral describes it as "partial 16S ribosomal RNA". It matches the Rfam family "Bacterial small subunit ribosomal RNA", at positions 524 to 776 of the family's 1533-position model. The record is from RNAcentral.
UACGUAGGGGGCUAGCGUUGUCCGGAAUCAUUGGGCGUAAAGCGCGUGUAGGCGGUCCGGUAAGUCGGUUGUGAAAGUCCAGGGCUCAACCCUGGGAUGCCGACCGAUACUGUCGGACUAGAGUUCGGAAGAGGCGAGUGGAAUUCCCGGUGUAGCGGUGAAAUGCGCAGAUAUCGGGAGGAACACCUAUGGCGAAGGCAGCUCGCUGGGACGUUACUGACGCUGAGACGCGAAAGCGUGGGGAGCAAACAGG